This 497-nucleotide ribosomal RNA is filed under the name uncultured bacterium. RNAcentral's name for it is "partial 16S ribosomal RNA". It matches the Rfam family "Bacterial small subunit ribosomal RNA", at positions 28 to 507 of the family's 1533-position model. The record is from RNAcentral.
GACGAACGCUGGCGGCGUGCCUAAUACAUGCAAGUUGAGCGCUGAAGGUUGGUACUUGUACCGACUGGAUGAGCAGCGAACGGGUGAGUAACGCGUGGGGAAUCUGCCUUUGAGCGGGGGACAACAUUUGGAAACGAAUGCUAAUACCGCAUAAAAACUUUAAACACAAGUUUUAAGUUUGAAAGAUGCAAUUGCAUCACUCAAAGAUGAUCCCGCGUUGUAUUAGCUAGUUGGUGAGGUAAAGGCUCACCAAGGCGAUGAUACAUAGCCGACCUGAGAGGGUGAUCGGCCACAUUGGGACUGAGACACGGCCCAAACUCCUACGGGGGGCAGCAGUAGGGAAUCUUCGGCAAUGGACGAAAGUCUGACCGAGCAACGCCGCGUGAGUGAAGAAGGUUUUCGGAUCGUAAAACUCUGUUGGUAGAGAAGAACGUUGGUGAGAGUGGAAAGCUCAUCAAGUGACGGUAACUACCCAGAAAGGGACGGCUAACUACGUG